UACGUAGGGGGCGAGCGUUGUCCGGAGUUACUGGGCGUAAAGCGCACGCAGGCGGUCUGCUAAGUUUGGAGUGACAGUUGGUGGCUUAACUGCCAAAGUGCUUCGAAAACUGACAGACUUGAGGGCUUCAGAGGGACACGGAAUUCCGGGUGGAGUGGUGAAAUGCGUAGAGAUCCGGAGGAACACCAAGGACGAAGGCAGUGUCCUGGCGAGUGACUGACGCUGAGGUGCGAAAGCCAGGGGAGCGAACGGGA
This 254-nucleotide ribosomal RNA is filed under the name uncultured bacterium. RNAcentral describes it as "partial 16S ribosomal RNA". It matches the Rfam family "Bacterial small subunit ribosomal RNA", at positions 524 to 777 of the family's 1533-position model. The record is from RNAcentral.